CACUUCCAAGUGCCAGCACGGAGUUUAGGGAGGUAUGGUUUCGCCAGCUAGGUGGCCGCUGUACACUUUUCCAUUUCGCCCGCUACCAGCCUUUUGCCGUCUCUCAGCAAUGUGGGUGGUGUUGGCUAUGCACUGCUACUUUAUAGUCCAGUAUCACACUCAGUGUUUCAAUCAAUGUUACAGUUACAAUUUCAUUUCCUAUUUUUAGAGGAACACAGCUGUCGGUUUGUAGGCAUCCGCCCAUGUAAGCUCACUUGGGGGGUGGUUUGGAGUGCUUCAGAUAGUUAUUCCAGCCCUCCCAUGCCUCUGUUCAGGUUCUUGGGGAAUAGUUGGAGAAGUGCAGUCCAUAUUUGUUAUGUGAUUUGCCUCCGUGGCUGAUAUCAUCAUCCCAUAGGAAAGCAUUGGAUUGGCUUAGAUUGACAAGGAGGUAGAGCAGGAGGUGAAGCCAAACAUUGCUGAUCAGAAUCUCUGCAUGGAGAUGAAUCAAAUCAAUACAUCGGACGAAAGUUCAGUGUCUCCAUGCAGAGGGUGAAGUACUGCACACUGUGCAGCAGUGCUCGAGGAAGCACCUCUAGUCGCCACCUGAGUGGCCACCACUGGAGGUGUCCCUAGGCUGUAAUGUGAACACUGCCUUUUCUCUGAAAAGACACUGUUUACAGCAAAAAACCUGAAUGGAAUGAUUAUGCACACCAGAAAAAAUACAAUAAGCUGUAGUUGAUCUGGUGACUAGUGUCCCUUUAAGGAUACAGUAAUUUAUUAUUUGUGGUUGUGCACCCUUUCACACAUUUCUUGAGGAUCCAAUUAGAGGGGUAGGAAUUCAAAUUUUUAUCACAACAAUAUUCUACUAUUGUACCAAAGAUAAAGACUUAACAUAUUUCAUUUUUUCUUUCCGUUUUUGUUGUCCUUAGUUUUAAAGGUUAGCAUACUUGUGGAAAAGAUGUGUAAACAUGUGCAAAUGUAGUAAACUAAAAGAAGAAAUAAAAAAAUCAGAUUAAUAUAGACACCUUUAACCUACAUUUUUCAAUUGAACUUGAUGUUUAGUGGAUAAACCCCAGUCUGUACUGGAUGGUAAACAUUUCACAAAGCGUGUUAGGAUCACAUAAUGGGUUUUACAAUGCACCUCUAAUGACAAAACUCUACAGAAUUCUUUUUGACAGCUUGAAAUUGACCUGUGCAGUAAGUUAUGUUUAGUUCACUACGUGAAACGCUCUGUAGUGAUAACUUAUUUAUUUUGCCAGAAAUGUAUAGCAAAAUCCAAACUGUUUCACAGCAGAGAAGAAAGAGCAUAGCUUAUAGAGAAAGUCCAUCUUUCCCCUCUAGAGUAAAGGUAUGUUGUACAUUAUUUAACAAUGUCUCUGGUUUAAGUGGGUUAUUUGUUACCGAAGUCUUUUUUUCCCCUGCAUGUUGGGAUGAUCUAUUCAAUGUGUUUAUGCAUUUGUCAUGCCGAACAUUACUUGGCGUCACUUUAAAUGGGUACUUAGCACAAAAAUCACUACUCCGUCCCUGCAGUCUGUCAAAUUUAAGUAUGAACUUUUGUAAGAAAUGUCAAUAUUUACAUUUGUUACGAAGACAAUAAGAAACAGAAACUAGAGGCACUUCUUCAUAAAAACAUAGCAAUUGAAAGUCUUCAUGUUCGGUAUUGCAAUGCUUCCGUAUAAAAAGAAAAUCUGACUGACUGGGCAAGGCAAUUGGUGCGCAUGCGCAGUAGGUUCUUAGUGCUUCUCUGUGAAAAGCAUUGGAUUGGACGUUGGAUCAUCUAGACAGAUGAGCUCCUUGAGAAAGGAACAGCCUCAGCAGGGAGACUGCCUGGCACUGCAAUACCAGCACCAGCCUUGGUUUUUGUUUUUUUUAUAUAUAUAUAUAUAUGCCAAGUAAGGAACAUAAAUAUUUAAAAAUACUUAUUUUAAUAUUUUUGGAUGUUAACAUUUCAUCUACACAUUGUACUUGUCAAAUAGCUAGCAACUGUAUAGUUGAAAAGUUAUUGCAUAUCAUGUCGUUUGACCCUUCGGGGUUUUACCAAUGUGUGUUGUAAUUUAGUUUUGGAGCUAAGUGGAAAAAUGGGUCUCUAUAUAUAACAAUUUUUUUCCCCCAGCUAAGGAUGAUAUUUUAACCCUUUCACGACUGGAUUAAAUAGAGGAUCUCACUGGGUUAUACAAGACACUGUUCUCGCAAGCACAUGGGAGGAGACCGGGAAGAUUUAUUUAACAUUGAACUAGCUACCUAUAAAUAAAAGAGCCACCUUUGGGCAAAGCUUCGAU
This is a non-coding RNA of Pelobates cultripes (western spadefoot toad), 2258 nucleotides long. The record is from the annotation of a GenBank genome assembly. NCBI's taxonomy places the organism in Eukaryota, Metazoa, Chordata, Amphibia, Anura, Pelobatidae.